Molecule: long non-coding RNA, 1787 nt
Organism: Caretta caretta (loggerhead turtle)
Lineage: Eukaryota; Metazoa; Chordata; Testudines; Cheloniidae
Source: RefSeq, a predicted model, not a curated record
GCGCGUGCACGGCCCUAAAUAGGCUGCUGAGCAGCUGCGCGGCUUACAGGAAACGUAGGCAAAGAGGGAAACUAUCAUGCUGAGAUUUCAUAACAGAAAUAAAGCUGGAAAUCUGGCCUGGAGGGUCUCUCCAUCCACACCAGUAGGAGGAGAAGGAAGAGGACAUGGGAUCCCACCAGGGAAGCUGAUAAGGAACUGGGUGUCCCAGGGAGCUGGGCAGGCUGUCAGGAAACCAGAACUGGAAGGAACCUCAAGAGGUCAUCUAAUCCAGCUCCACCUUGCUGAGGCAAGACAAUGUAUACACUAGAUGAUUCCUGACACGUGUUUAUCCAACCGGUUCUUAAAAUCCUCCAAAGAUGGGGAUUCCGCAACCUCCCUUCGCAAGCUAUUCCAGUACUUACCUAUUAAUAUAGUUAGAACGAUUUUCCUAAUAUCUAACCUAAAGCUCCCUUGCUGCAGGUUACGCCCAUUACUUCUUGUCCUACCUUCAGUGGACAUGGAGAACAAUUUAUCACCAUCCUCUUUAUAACAACCUUUUUAUAUAUGUGAAGACUUUUCAUGUCUCCCUGCUCUUCUCGAAACUAAACGUGCCCAGUUCUUUCAACCUUUCCUCUUAGGUCAUGUUUCUGAACCUCUUAUCAUUUUUGUUGUUCUCCUCCAGAUUCUCUCCACAUCUUUGUUCACAUCUUUCUGAAAGACACUGUACUCCAUCUGAGGCCUCACCAGUGCUGAGCAGAGUGGGACAAUUACCGCCCGUGUCUUACAUAUGACACUCCUUUUAAUAUAUCCCAGAAUGACAUUUCCUUUUUUGCCUCAGAAUCACAUUGUUGACUCAUAUUCAAUUUCUGAUCCACUAUAACCCCCAGAUCUCUUUCUUUAGUACUGCUGUCUAGCCAGUUAUUCCCAUUUUUUAUUUGUGCAUUUGAUUUUUUUCCUUCCAAAGUAUAGUAAUUUAUACUUAUCUUUAUUGAAUUUAAUCUUUAUUGAUUUCAGACCAAUUCUCCAAUUUAUCAAGAUCAUUUUUAAUUUUAAUCCAGUCCUCCAAAGUGCUUGCAACCCCUCCCAGUUUAGUGUCAUUUGCAAAUUUUAUAAGCAUACUCUCUAUUCCAUCAUGGAAGUCACCAGUGAAAAUACUGAAUAGUAUUGGAUCCAGGACAGACUCCUACGUGACUGCACUUGAUAUGUCCCCCCAAUUUGAGAUAACUAUGGAUAACUACUCUUUGAGUACAGACUUUCAAUCAUUUGUGCACCCAUCUUAUAGUAAUUUCAUCUAGACCAUAUGUCCCUACUUUGCUUAUCAGAAUGUCUUGUGAGAGUGUGUCAAAAGCCUUACUAAAGUCCAGAUAUAUCACAUCUACUGCUCCCGCCUCCCUGUCCACUAGGUCAGUAACCCCAUCAAAGAAAGAAAUUGGAUUGGUUUGUCCUCCUAGCACCAAAAACACCUUCCAUCCCAGUUUGAUCAGGAGACUCUAUUCUUCAUGUGAUGACCCUGUGUCCCAAGAACCUGCUUUGGAAUGCCUGAAAUGUCCCUUUUUAAUUUCAUCAGUUAAAGCAUUCAGGGUUCUAUAAUUACAAAAUGUUUGUUCAAACAUGUUCCUAUAUUGAUCACAAAUGGGCAUCCCUGUGUCAUUCACAUCAUAGAGAAUAUGAGAAAGCUCAGACAAAGAACUCUUUCGUCAUAGUGAUAGCUGGAAAAAGAGGCUGAGAAUAUUGAAUAAGGAAACUGUCUUCUGAUUCCUGCUGUAUUCACGAAACAAGACUUUAUGUACAUUCUUUGUAAAUAAACA